Molecule: ribosomal RNA, 810 nt
Filed under: Triticum aestivum (bread wheat)
Lineage: Eukaryota; Viridiplantae; Streptophyta; Magnoliopsida; Poales; Poaceae
Description: partial small subunit ribosomal RNA
Source: RNAcentral
AUGGCUGAUGAUACCAAGUUCCUCCUUUUGGCUUUACUCUUGAGCUGCUCAUCGUUGUGUUUUGGUUCUGAAGCUGAUAUCCAGUGCCUGAAAUCUGUACAACAAUCAGUGAUUGAUCCCAACGGCGUACUCAAAUCCUCGUGGUACUUUGAAAAUCCCUAUCCCAAUGAUGCUUACAUAUGCCGCUUUACUGGUGUGGAAUGUUGGUACCAUGACGAGAACAGGGUUCUCAGUUUACGUCUUGGCAACCUAGGACUUGAAGGCCCAUUUCCUCAAGGUCUAGAGAAUUGUUCAAGCGUGACCGGCCUGGACCUGUCAAACAACAAUUUUUCAGGACCAAUCCCUCAGGACAUUUCACGGCAGGUGCCGUACCUGACAUCUCUGGACCUUUCGUACAAUAGUUUUACGGGUUCAAUCCCACAGAAUAUCUCAAAUAUGACAUAUCUGAAUAUCCUCAACCUUCAGCAUAACCAAUUCAGCGGUCAAAUUCCACCGCAAUUCAAUUUGCUUACUCGGUUAACCGCAUUCAAUGUUGCGGAGAACUUGUUAUCAGGGCCUAUUCCUUCUUUGCUACAAAACUUUUCGGCUUCGAACUUUGCUGGUAACCAAGGGCUUUGUGGUUCACCCUUGGAUGAGUGCUCCACCCCUCAGAGGAGAUGGAGACCGGUACGAAUCAGGCUGCACAGGCUCAACGACCAGUCGAGCAUCGGAGCGGCCGUCGGAUUUGUCGUGGGAUUCGUGGUGGCCUUCUACUUCCCGCAAUGCUUCGUCUGCUCCGAGAGGUUUCGUGCCAACGUCGUCCGCAUAUGA